This is a non-coding RNA of Pantherophis guttatus, 347 nucleotides long. Lineage: Eukaryota; Metazoa; Chordata; Lepidosauria; Squamata; Colubridae. The record is from RefSeq and is a predicted model, not a curated record.
GACUCAAUUCCUCUUUCUGUUCAAGAAGAUUCUGCUCAAUUUACCAAGUUAUUCCAAUCAUUUGCUAAUUGGAUUUUCAGAAGGGAAUAGAGGGAGGGAAGGACCAUUCCCUAAUUUGGUGAAAGACCCAAUUCACCUUAAUCAUGAAGAUCACAGAAGAACAUUAUGAAGAUAGAUACUGGUAAUUUGCAAGAGAAACAGGAUGAAGCAGAAUACCCUAUUUUAACUAAGAAGCGGCUUAACAUUUUAAAGAAUGUUAAAUAUGUCUCUGGAAAAUGUUUAAUAAGGCUGGAUAUAAAUUUUACAGAAUGAGAGAAUAAAGUAGUAGAAAACACACUGAAGUAUAA